This 512-nucleotide ribosomal RNA is filed under the name uncultured bacterium. RNAcentral's name for it is "bacterial SSU rRNA". It matches the Rfam family "Bacterial small subunit ribosomal RNA", at positions 15 to 518 of the family's 1533-position model. The record is from RNAcentral.
GAUCCUGGCUUAGGAUGAACGCUAGCGACAGGCUUAACACAUGCAAGUCGAGGGGCAGCACAGGAGUAGCAAUACUUUGGUGGCGACCGGCGCACGGGUGAGUAACGCGUAUGCAACCUACCUAUCAGAGGGGAAUAACCCGGCGAAAGUCGGACUAAUACCGCAUAAAACAGGGGCACCGCAUGGUGAUAUUUGUUAAAGAAAUUCGCUGAUAGAUGGGCAUGCGUUCCAUUAGGUAGUUGGUGAGGUAACGGCUCACCAAGCCGACGAUGGAUAGGGGAACUGAGAGGUUGGUCCCCCACACUGGUACUGAGACACGGACCAGACUCCUACGGGAGGCAGCAGUGAGGAAUAUUGGUCAAUGGGCGGGAGCCUGAACCAGCCAAGUCGCCGUGAAGGAAGAAGGAUCUAUGGUUCGUAAACUUCUUUUGCAGGGGAAUAAAGUGCAGGACGUGUCCUGUUUUGUAUGUACCCUGAGAAUAAGGAUCGGCUAACUCCGUGCCAGCCGCGGC